Molecule: ribosomal RNA, 405 nt
Filed under: Fusobacteriota bacterium
Lineage: Bacteria; Fusobacteriati; Fusobacteriota
Description: Fusobacteria bacterium partial 16S ribosomal RNA
Rfam family: Bacterial small subunit ribosomal RNA
Source: RNAcentral
UGGGGAAUAUUGCACAAUGGAGGGAACUCUGAUGCAGCGACGCCGCGUGAGUGAUGAAGGACUUCGUUUCGUAAAACUCUGUUCUAUGGGAAGAAAAGGACUGUACCAUAGGAGAAAGCUCCGGCUAAAUACGUGCCAGCAGCCGCGGUAAUACGUAUGGAGCGAGCGUUGUCCGGAAUUAUUGGGCGUAAAGGGUGCGCAGGCGGCUUUACAAGUUGGAUGUGAAAUAUUGUGGCUCAACCACAAACGUGCAUCCAAAACUGCAAAGCUUGAGUUAAGGAGAGGUAAGUGGAAUUCCUGGUGUAGCGGUGGAAUGCGUAGAUAUCAGGAGGAAUACCGGUGGCGAAGGCGACUUACUGGACUUAAACUGACGCUCAGGCACGAAAGCGUGGGGAGCAAACAGGA